This 575-nucleotide ribosomal RNA is filed under the name Saccharomyces cerevisiae (brewer's yeast). Its description in RNAcentral is "eukaryotic LSU rRNA". It matches the Rfam family "Eukaryotic large subunit ribosomal RNA", at positions 60 to 649 of the family's 3401-position model. Lineage: Eukaryota; Fungi; Ascomycota; Saccharomycetes; Saccharomycetales; Saccharomycetaceae. The record is from RNAcentral.
AGAAACCAACCGGGAUAUGCCUUAGUAACGGCGAGUGAAGCGCAAAAGCUCAAAUUUGAAAUCUGGUACCUUCGGUGCCCGAGUUGUAAUUUGGAGAGGGCAACUUUGGGGCCGUUCCUUGUCUAUGUUCCUUGGAACAGGACGUCAUAGAGGGUGAGAAUCCCGUGUGGCGAGGAGUGCGGUUCUUUGUAAAGUGCCUUCGAAGAGUCGAGUUGUUUGGGAAUGCAGCUCUAAGUGGGUGGUAAAUUCCAUCUAAAGCUAAAUAUUGGCGAGAGACCGAUAGCGAACAAGUACAGUGAUGGAAAGAUGAAAAGAACUUUGAAAAGAGAGUGAAAAAGUACGUGAAAUUGUUGAAAGGGAAGGGCAUUUGAUCAGACAUGGUGUUUUGUGCCCUCUGCUCCUUGUGGGUAGGGGAAUCUCGCAUUUCACUGGGCCAGCAUCAGUUUUGGUGGCAGGAUAAAUCCAUAGGAAUGUAGCUUGCCUCGGUAAGUAUUAUAGCCUGUGGGAAUACUGCCAGCUGGGACUGAGGACUGCGACGUAAGUCAAGGAUGCUGGCAUAAUGGUUAUAUGCCGCC